UCUUCCCUUGUGGCCGGUGUACAGGUGGUGCAUGGUUGUCGUCAGCUCGUGUCGUGAGAUGUUGGGUUAAGUCCCGCAACGAGCGCAACCCUUGUCUUAUGUUGCCAGCACGUGAUGGUGGGGACUCAUGAGAGACUGCCGGGGUCAACUCGGAGGAAGGUGGGGAUGACGUCAAAUCAUCAUGCCCCUUAUGUCCAGGGCUUCACACAUGCUACAAUGGUCGGUACAGCAGGUCGCGAACUCGUGAGAGUAAGCCAAUCCUUCAAAGCCGGCCUCAGUUCGGAUUGGGGUCUGCAACUCGACCCCAUGAAGUCGGAGUCGCUAGUAAUCGCAGAUCAGCAACGCUGCGGUGAAUACGUUCCCGGGCCUUGUACACACCG
Molecule: ribosomal RNA, 380 nt
Filed under: uncultured Actinomycetes bacterium
Lineage: Bacteria; Bacillati; Actinomycetota; Actinomycetes
Description: bacterial SSU rRNA
Rfam family: Bacterial small subunit ribosomal RNA
Source: RNAcentral